CCCUUAGAUGUUCUGGGCCGCACGCGCGCUACACUGAUGCAUUCAACGAGUUUCUUCCUGGUCCGAGAGGAAUGGGUAACCUUUUGAAAGUGCAUCGUGAUAGGGAUAGACUAUUGCAAUUAUUGGUCUUCAACGAGGAAUUCCUAGUAGACGUAGUUCAUCAGACUGCAUCGAUUACGUCCCUGCCCUCUGUACACACCGCCCGUCGCUCCUACCGAUUGAAUGCUCAGGUGAGCCAUUCGGACUUUCAUCAUGCUGGUUUCCAGUUUUGAUGAAGGAAAGUCUUGCGAACCUUAUCAUUUAGAGGAAGGAGAAGUCGUAACA
This 324-nucleotide ribosomal RNA is filed under the name uncultured eukaryote. RNAcentral's name for it is "partial 18S ribosomal RNA". It matches the Rfam family "Eukaryotic small subunit ribosomal RNA", at positions 1470 to 1796 of the family's 1831-position model. The record is from RNAcentral.